GGCAAGAUGGCCGAGUGGUUAAGGCGUCAGAUUUAAGAAAUUGAACUCUGAUCUUCGAAAGAAGUCGUGCGUUCGAACCGCGCUCUUGCCA
This 91-nucleotide transfer RNA is filed under the name Aspergillus japonicus CBS 114.51. RNAcentral describes it as "tRNA-Leu". It matches the Rfam family "tRNA". Rfam says of the family: Transfer RNA (tRNA) molecules are approximately 80 nucleotides in length. Their secondary structure includes four short double-helical elements and three loops (D, anti-codon, and T loops). Lineage: Eukaryota; Fungi; Ascomycota; Eurotiomycetes; Eurotiales; Aspergillaceae. RNAcentral also lists the same sequence under 2 other names. The record is from RNAcentral.